GCAGCUUCGUUCGUGUGGGAGUCCUGACCUCAGUAACAGAUCUGACCUCUGGAGAAGCGUAGUAGUCUCUAACAGAUGUGUCUACAGUUCAGUCCAUACGUAAAGCCAGAAGUGAGAAGUGACGCACUGCAGCGUCGAAGCAGAAGAUCCAGCUUUCCGACUAAAGUGUCGAACCCGUCUCAACAUCUUUCUGUCUCGCUCUAUCUCUGCUUCUCAGCCUCUGCUAAACACCUGAACAACCUCCCUGCAGUGUUCAACUUCUGGCAGGGCAAGCUCAAGCACUGAAUCCCUGGGAUGUUUUUGAAGCACAGCAUCAAGGCUAUGGGAAACAAAAAAAACAGAAAAGGACUAAUUUCUUUCUCAAAUUGAUGUCCAAAAGAUCACAAAAGUUACCGUAACCCUGAACGAUGUCACGGCACAAGCAGAUUGUAAAAAGGGCAAAAGCAAUUGUGCUCUUAAUUUGCUCUUUACAAACAAAAAUAUGAUGAGCAACGACAACGGACUACACAGGAGGAAAACAAAAUGUUCGCGAUAAAAGACGAAUGAAUUGAAAAAUACUCCAGUGUGCACAAACCCAGGCCACGUCACAGAUGGAACUUUCCAAUGUGUUCAGUUAAAUGGAACAACUGAUUUGUACUAAAAUGCACUCAAAGUCUGGCUGGAUACGUACGACUACAGAAAAAUGAACUACAACUGCUGACCUUUUAUUCUGGUUUGGUGAAAAUCUAUCUGCUGCACCUGGAUAUUUUUCAGGAUUUCAACAAUGAAAUUCAACUUCCCAGUACGUAAAAUGUCACAUCCAUCAAUCUGACCAGCUGUUCAUUCAACUGAUAAAACAGAAGGCUGAGCAUUUGCUGACACCAUUGUAACUCAAAGAUUUCAGAUGUCUGACUGACAUGGCGAACAGAUGUUGACAUUAUGAAGUACUACACUGCACGUUCCAACACUUCUUCAUGCCCAGAUAUGGCAAUUACAUGAAAGCACACUGCUCUCCAAACAGGCACCAAAAGAAGUCCAAGCUGUAAAAGAACACUACCACAACAGAUAUAAAUAGCAUCAAUUUACAGCUGACACAGUUACCACAGUCCCAGCUACAUAGCACCUUAAUCAACUGGCACCAACAGCAAGGUAACAGACACUGGAUUAAAACAUUUUAUGUUUCAUAAAGCUGUGAUUUACCAACAGAAUGAGCAUAUCAAUAGGAUACUGUGACCCAUGUAAUGCUUUUAUUUAUUCAUUAAAAUCAUUUCAACAGUCAAAUGAACACAACACAUAAACGAGCCAGCAAGGAAAAGACUGUUUAAAAACUGCAGCACAUCAUUAUAUGGAACAUUCAACUUUUGAUUACAUAGCAAAAAGGUUAUAGACUCAUCUCAGUUAUACUUGUGUGAUAUUUGACAAGAUAUUUAGAACAGUUUUGUUACUGAUUAUAUUAAUAAUAAUCCUUGCAUUUG
Long non-coding RNA from Callorhinchus milii (elephant shark), 1454 nucleotides. RefSeq lists it as uncharacterized. NCBI's taxonomy places the organism in Eukaryota, Metazoa, Chordata, Chondrichthyes, Chimaeriformes, Callorhinchidae. The record is from RefSeq and is a predicted model, not a curated record. The transcript has 3 exons.